UAGUUAAGUUGGUAAGUGUCUUUUGU
RNAcentral lists this small RNA (26 nucleotides) under Bombyx mori (domestic silkworm). Its description in RNAcentral is "ovarian small RNA-23105". Lineage: Eukaryota; Metazoa; Arthropoda; Insecta; Lepidoptera; Bombycidae. The record is from RNAcentral.